UUCCAGACUCCUACGGGAGGCAGCAGUGGGGAAUAUUGCACAAUGGGGGGAACCCUGAUGCAGCGACGCCGCGUGGGUGAAGGAGUACUUCGGUACGUAAAGCCCUAUCAGCAGGAAAGAAAAUGACGGUACCUGACUAAGAAGCCCCGGCUAACUACGUGCCAGCAGCCGCGGUAAUACGUAGGGAGCGAGCGUUGUCCGGAAUUACUGGGUGUAAAGGGAGCGUAGGCGGGCGAGAAAGUUGAAUGUUAAAUCUACCGGCUUAACUGGUAGCUGCGUUCAAAACUUCUUGUCUUGAGUGAAGUAGAGGCAGGCGGAAUUCCUAGUGUAGCGGUGAAAUGCGUAGAUAUCAGGAGGAACACCGGCGGCGAAGGCGGCCUGCUGGACCGUAACUGACGUUGAGGCUCAAAAGCGUGGGGAGCAAACAGGAUUAGAUACCCUGGUA
RNAcentral lists this ribosomal RNA (445 nucleotides) under uncultured bacterium. RNAcentral's name for it is "bacterial SSU rRNA". It matches the Rfam family "Bacterial small subunit ribosomal RNA", at positions 329 to 792 of the family's 1533-position model. The record is from RNAcentral.